Molecule: long non-coding RNA, 575 nt
Filed under: Homo sapiens (human)
Lineage: Eukaryota; Metazoa; Chordata; Mammalia; Primates; Hominidae
Description: non-protein coding lnc-USH2A-4:2
Source: RNAcentral
AUGAUCAAGGCGAUCCUAAUCUUCAACAACCACGGGAAGCCGCGGCUCUCCAAGUUCUACCGCCCCUACAGUGAAGAUACACAACAGCAAAUCAUCAGGGAGACUUUCCAUUUGGUAUCUAAGAGAGAUGAAAAUGUUUGUAAUUUCCUAGAAGGGGGAUUAUUAAUUGGAGGAUCUGACAACAAACUGAUUUAUAGACAUUACACAACGUUAUAUUUUGUCUUCUGUGUAGAUUCUUCAGAAAGUGAACUUGGCAUUUUAGAUGUCAUUCAAGUAUUUGUGGAAACAUUAGACAAAUGUUUUGAAAAUGUCUGUGAACUGGAUUUGAUUUUCCAUGUAGACAAGGUUCACAGUAUUCUUGCAGAAAUAGUAUGGGGGGAAUGGUAUUGGAGACAAACAUGAAUGAGAUUGUUACACAAAUUGAUGCACAAAGUAAGCUGGAAAAAUCUGAGGGUGGCUUAGUGGGAGCUCCAGCCUGUGCUGUAUCAGCUGUAAAGAAUAUGAAUCUUCCUGAGAUCCCAAGAAAUAUUAACAUUGGUGACAUCAGUAUAAAAGUGCCAAACCUGUCCUCUUUU